Molecule: non-coding RNA, 772 nt
Filed under: Sycophila sp. 2 JXW-2020
Lineage: Eukaryota; Metazoa; Arthropoda; Insecta; Hymenoptera; Eurytomidae
Source: RNAcentral
AUAAAAUUUUAAUUUGGUUUAAAAAUUUGUUUAAAUAUUUAUUUAUAUAUAAUUUUUGGAGAAUUUAUUAAUUUAAAUAAUUAAUAAAAUGAUAAUUUAAUAUGUAUAAUUAAUAAAAAUUAAGAAAAUUGAAGAUUAGAAAUUAUUUUUAAUAUAGGUUAAUCCUGUGCCAGCAUCAGCGGUUAAACAAGAUAUAUAAGUAAAUUUUAAAUUAUUUUAUUUAAAUUUUCAUUUUUAUAAUUUAAUUUAAUUUAAAAAGAUAAAAUUUUAUAUUUUUUGAUAGUUAUAAUUUAAUUUAAUUGAAUUAGAAAAUUUAGGUUAAAAACUAGGAUUAGAUACCCUAUUAUUCUAAAAUUAAUUUAUAAAUUAAUAAUGAUUAAAAAUUUUAAAAUUAAAAAUUAUGGCGGUAUUUUAUCCUGAUUAGAGGAACUUGUUGUGUAAGUGAUAAUCCACGAAAAGAUAAACUUAAUUUUUUAUACUUAUGUAUGUUCGUUUUAAAAGAAUUUUUGAAAAAUAAAUUUUUUAUAAAUUUUAUUUUUAGGAUUUUAAUUCAGAUCAAUAUGUAGUUUUAAUUAAGAAUUAAAUGAGUUACAUUGAAUUUAUUUUUUGGAAUAUUUAAUUUAAUUUAAAUAUGAAAUUGGAUUUAAAAGUAAAUUAAAUAAAUUAAUUUAAUUGAUUAAUGUUUUAAAAUAUGUACAAAUUGCCCGUCACUUCUAUUUAAUAGAAUAAGUCGUAACAAAGUAAGUGUACUGGAAAGUGUACUUAGUUUCUA